AACCUCCAGUUAGUGAUUCCAGAGCUGGCCAGUCAAUCUCUUCAACCAAGCCUAAUGACAUCAUCAAUUAUUGCUUCACCUCGACAGAAUUCCCGGAGCAAACUUCUGGAAAAGUGAGGAGAUCGAGCACAAGUCAGCUGUGGAGAUGACAGCAGAGCUGGACCGAGAGCCGGCCUCCGGGCUUCGUCCUCGGCUUUGGUUGCGUCACAUGUGUACCCUCAGGACUUCAAGUACAAUGCUGGAAAGAAGAGUUGAUGUGGACAUUUUUGUCUUGUUCCUGAUUUUAAAGCAAUGCUUCAAAUCUUUCGCCUUGAAGAAUGAUGUUUGCUGUAAUUAUUUGAUAAAAGCUCUUUAUCAGGUAGGACAUUUC
Molecule: long non-coding RNA, 370 nt
Organism: Balaenoptera acutorostrata (minke whale)
Lineage: Eukaryota; Metazoa; Chordata; Mammalia; Artiodactyla; Balaenopteridae
Exons: 3
Source: RefSeq, a predicted model, not a curated record